RNAcentral lists this ribosomal RNA (253 nucleotides) under uncultured archaeon. Its description in RNAcentral is "partial 16S ribosomal RNA". It matches the Rfam family "Archaeal small subunit ribosomal RNA", at positions 474 to 727 of the family's 1478-position model. The record is from RNAcentral.
AACCAGCACCUCAAGUGGUCAGGAGGAUUAUUGGGCCUAAAGCAUCCGUAGCCUGUUCUAUAAGUUUGCGGUUAAAUCUAUGCGCUCAACGUAUAGGCUGCCGUAAAUACUGUAGAACUAGGGAGUGGGAGAGGUAGACGGUACUCGAUAGGAAGGGGUAAAAUCCUUUGAUCUAUUGAUGGCCACCGGUGGCGAAGGCGAGUCUCUGGACAAUUCCUGACGCUGAGGUACGAAGGCUAGGGUAGCGAAAAGG